RNAcentral lists this ribosomal RNA (466 nucleotides) under uncultured bacterium. RNAcentral's name for it is "bacterial SSU rRNA". It matches the Rfam family "Bacterial small subunit ribosomal RNA", at positions 355 to 825 of the family's 1533-position model. The record is from RNAcentral.
UAGGGAAUAUUGGACAAUGGGUGAGAGCCUGAUCCAGCCAUGCCGCGUGCAGGAAGAAGGCCUUCUGGGUUGUAAACUGCUUUUGCCAGGGGAUAAAAUUUCCAUGCGUGGAGAAUUGAAGGUACCUGGUGAAUAAGCCACGGCUAACUACGUGCCAGCAGCCGCGGUAAUACGUAGGUGGCAAGCGUUGUCCGGAUUUAUUGGGUUUAAAGGGUGCGUAGGCGGUUCCAUAAGUCAGUGGUGAAAUACAAUAGCUUAACUAUUGAGGUGCCAUUGAUACUGCGGAACUUGAGUACAGACGAGGUAGGCGGAAUUGACGGUGUAGCGGUGAAAUGCGUAGAGAUCUGGAGGAACACCGAUGGCGAAGGCAGCCCCCUGGGCUAACACUGACGCUCAUGCACGAAAGCGUGGGGAGCAAACAGGAUUAGAUACCCGCGUAGUCCCUGAGCGGGCUGGCAAGGCGCAU